UGUAGGAUAAUGCACUUCCUAUCC
Molecule: non-coding RNA, 24 nt
Filed under: Rattus norvegicus (Norway rat)
Lineage: Eukaryota; Metazoa; Chordata; Mammalia; Rodentia; Muridae
Source: RNAcentral